This 2194-nucleotide long non-coding RNA is filed under the name Homo sapiens (human). RNAcentral's name for it is "LOXL1 antisense RNA 1, transcript variant 5 (LOXL1-AS1)". Lineage: Eukaryota; Metazoa; Chordata; Mammalia; Primates; Hominidae. The record is from RNAcentral.
GGGCCCGGGGGGCCCGGAGCAGUUUCCAGUGGCCAGGGGUACGCGCGGCCGGAGGGGCGCCGGGGCCGUACUCACCGCGGCCGUUCUGGUUGGGCCGGUACACGCUGCCCACGCUGAGGCGGCCCUGCUGCGCGCCGUUCCGCUCCCCACCCGGCGGGGGCGUGUCGGAGCUGCGCACCGGCAGGAGCUCCUGCCUGCCUGGAUGAAGAGGAGGUCAAGACUUUGUCCCCCACUCCGCAAGAUACCCUCUCUGUUCCGGAGCGGUGAGACAGGAUUUCACCAUGUUAGCCAGGAUGGUCUUGAUCUCCUGACCUCAUGAUCUGCCCACCUCGGCCUCCCAAAGUGCUGGGCUUACAGGCGUGAGCCACCGUGCCCGGCCAAAAAUAACUUUUAAAAACAUGAGUAUAGCAUACACACACACAAAAGUCCACAAAUCCUAGGUGUACCACUUGAUGAAUGAUCCCAACGUGAGCACACCUCUGGAUUACCACCUGGAUCAAGAAAUAGGACAUCACAGCAGCUGGCAGCUUCCAAGGAGAAGCUCUGGAAAGUUCUGCCUGUCUCAGCACCUGGCUGGAUCGGAAACGAGUUUUCUUUAACCAGAUUUUUAAUGACUGACUUAUGUGGACAAAUCAUAACUGAAUGAAUCACCUCCUUUGUUGAUUUUUUUGGGUACUUUAUUUGCUAUUAUAAAUGAUGCUGUAAUAAGCACCCUUGAAGAAAUCUUCAUAUCUGCCUCUCCUGUGUAGCAGGUCACAGUGCCUGGGUUUGGUUCUAGCCCUCAUUUGUGAACUGUGUGACUCACCAUGCCUUUUUUCUUUCUGUAAGACAGGAAUAAUGGUAAGAAUUUAAAUGGGGGUAAUAUGGAGCGCGUUUAGUUCAGAGCCUGGUGCAUACAAGCACUCAAUAAGUACUGGCGAUUAUUAGACCUUUAGAUUAAUUUAUUAGAAGUUGGAUUUCUGGUGAAAGGGUUUGAGUGUUUUUGAGGCUUUGGCACAGAAUACCCAGCUGGUCCCAGAAAGGUGGUUCCCAUUUACCUGCCCGAAGGUAAUUCACCCUUACUGAUACUGAGUACUGUUUUCUAAAAGAACAUUAAAAAUUGGAUAGGUUAAAAACAGGUGAAUACAUUUUUUUAGUUGCAUUUUUUUGGUUACCCGUGAGAGUGAACAUGUUGCCAUGUGUUUGCUGACCUCCUAAAUGGUCUAUUUGCUCCUACCUUUGUACCCCAAAAGUCUGCUCUCAAGAUGGUAGCCAGAAUGAUCCUUUUUGAGACAUAAGUCAAAAUUUCACUCUUCUCCUUAAAGCUCUGCAAUGGUUCUCAGGUUAAAAGCCAAAGUCCUGUUCAAGGCCUCCAGGGUCCUCACCACUUGGUCCCUUGCUCUUUCUGUUCUAGCCAACUUGGCCUUCUCCUGCCCCUCCGCCGCACCAUGGCAAUUUCCCCUGCUCUGUGUGGUCAACUACCUGAAUCUGUUCAAAGCUUUGCUCAAAUGUCUCCUUCCUGAUGAGACCUCCCCAGCCCCUGAGCUCCCCAUGCCUCACUCCUGAUCGCCUUACUUAACCCUUCUUUUUCUUUUUUGCCAGUAGUACUUAUCACCGUCUAAAAUACUUCAUAAUUUACUUGUUUAUUGUUUGCCCCUCUCCAAUAGAAUGUAAGCUCCUUGGGGCAGGGACCUUUGUCCUUUGUCUUGUUCACUGCUGUGUCCCAUGUGUAAACUUGUCUGGCACAGAAGAGGUGCUCGAUAAAUAUUUGUUGAGUGAAUGAAUGGUAAAUUUUCUGUUCAUAUUCUUUGACUAUUUUCUAUUGUAAUGUUCAUCUUUUUAGUAUUGGUUUAUAAGAUGUAUAUUUAGCACCUUUUCAUAUAUCACUCUUUGUCACAUAUUAUGCAACUAAUUUGUCAUUUCCAUCAAUUUUUAAAAUACUUUCUUGAUGCUUCAUUUUUAAGCUGUCAGAUUAUUAAUCUUUUCUUUAUGGUCUUGGACUUUAUUGUUGCAUAACCGCUGCCUUCACCAGGAACAUAUAAAUUUUCAAUUAAAUGUUCUUCUGAGAUUUUAUGAUUUCACUUUUUAUAUUAAACUCUUCAUUUUGUCUUCAUGUGUGGUGAGAGGUAAGAACAUAACUUUAAAGCAAAUUAACCAACUAUCCCCAAAUGAAUUAUAAAUAAAUUAAUCAUUUUCCAAUAAAAAAAAAAAAAAA